GACGAACGCUGGCGGCGUGCUUAACACAUGCAAGUCGAACGGAAAGGCCCUUCGGGUUUGUCGUGUUGGGAAGGGGGGCGUAACACGUGGGUGAUCUUCCCCGCACCUUGAGUUUAGCCUGGGAUAAUGGAUCUAAUACUAAUUCCGGACAGGAGCUUCAUGUUGUGUGUUGGAAGGGGAUGGUGGUGUGGGAUGGGCACGCGGCCUAUCAGCUUGUUGGUGGGGUAAUGGCAUACCAAGGCCAAGACGGGUAGCCGGCCUGAGAGGGUGACCGGCCACACUGGGACUGAGAUACGGCCCAGACUCCUACGGGAGGCAGCAGUGGGGAAUAUUGCACAAUGGGCGCAAGCCUGAUGCAGCGACGCCGCGUGAGGGAUGACGGCCUUCGGGUUGUAAACCGCUUUCGCCUGGGACGAAGCGUGAGUGACGGUACCUGGAGAAGAAGCACCGGCUAACUACGUG
Molecule: ribosomal RNA, 462 nt
Filed under: uncultured bacterium
Lineage: Bacteria
Description: partial 16S ribosomal RNA
Rfam family: Bacterial small subunit ribosomal RNA
Source: RNAcentral